UGCUAUAGUCAGCUCCUCAGUCAUCUGUUUAAAGGUCUGAGCGCCUUCACUGAUUGUGGAAGUUACAGGGAGUUGUUUUCUCCCACCUAGAGGUGUGUCGUUCAUUGUUGCCACUGAAGACCAGGCUGCAGUACAACAUAGGCUGGUCCAGCACCCACGGCAGGACAGGGCUGGCCUGCAGAGGCUCAGGCCAUCUGCUGCAUCAGAUAUGGCGUUAGCUCCUCUGUGAUAAUGUCUUAACAUAUGGAGACUUCACCCCAGUCGCUGCCUCCUAAGGAAGCCUCUGAAAACUGAAUUGCCUCCAGAGCACCACACCGAACACCGUGCCCCUCCAUGUCAGCAGUGGAGAGAGUACCCACGUUCAGAGGCUUUGACAGGACUCAGCAUCCAACAGCAUCUGAUGGAUCACCUAUUACAGUCUGAAGACUUUAAAUCUGUCCAAGAGUGGUUUCCAAAGCUCAGAAUGAACGAUUUUGUAAUCAGCAACCUGACUUCCAGAGCUGCUUGAUAGUACAAAAUCUCAUUAAAGAUAAAAGACUAAAAGAAAAGUAAGCCUUCCAAACAAUUUUCCAAUUAAAAUUGACUUUUCUGGGGGGAAACAGAACAAACCAACAAAAAACUGGUUAUCUGGAAAGUUGAUACUCUAAUUUCUCAAAUGCAGAAUCCUGAAACACCUGGUAUCACCAACUCCCAGCAAGAAGCAGCAUUACUGAACACUGUGGCAGAAGCCUGGAUUCUAGAAAGAUCAGGGAAAAAGAAGAAACUGCAGUAGAAACAUUUGGCUUGUCACAAUUGUUAUAUGGCACCGUAGCUGCAACUUCGUAAUGUGCAAUAAAACUGACAUGACGAGUUUUCUUUGAAAAGCACUUUGGUUCUGGAAUAAAAUCACAUGCAUCAAAAAUAUGGCAUAGCCUUCUGUAUUGCAUAAUGUAUUGCAUAAGAGAAAAUAGAGAAUAGCUGUU
RNAcentral lists this long non-coding RNA (962 nucleotides) under Gallus gallus (chicken). Its description in RNAcentral is "lncRNA (ENSGALG00010015873.1)". Lineage: Eukaryota; Metazoa; Chordata; Aves; Galliformes; Phasianidae. The record is from RNAcentral.